RNAcentral lists this ribosomal RNA (498 nucleotides) under uncultured Acidobacteriota bacterium. Its description in RNAcentral is "bacterial SSU rRNA". It matches the Rfam family "Bacterial small subunit ribosomal RNA", at positions 355 to 871 of the family's 1533-position model. The record is from RNAcentral. Lineage: Bacteria; Pseudomonadati; Acidobacteriota.
UCGGGAAUUUUGCGCAAUGGGCGAAAGCCUGACGCAGCAACGCCGCGUGAGGGAUGAAGGCCUUCGGGUUGUAAACCUCUUUUCUCAGGGACGAUGAUGACGGUACCUGAGGAAUAAGCCACGGCUAACUACGUGCCAGCAGCCGCGGUAAUACGUAGGUGGCAAGCGUUGUCCGGAUUUACCGGGCGUAAAGAGCGCGCAGGCGGUCGUUCAAGUCGCGUGUGAAAGCCCCCGGCUCAACUGGGGAGGGUCACGCGAUACUGAUCGACUCGAAGGCGGGAGAGGGAAGCGGAAUUCCCGGUGUAGUGGUGAAAUGCGUAGAUAUCGGGAGGAACACCAGUGGCGAAGGCGGCUUCCUGGCCCGUUCUUGACGCUGAGGUGCGAAAGCUAGGGGAGCAAACGGGAUUAGAUACCCCGGUAGUCCUAGCCGUAAACGAUGGACACUAGGUGUUGGUGGUAUCAACCCGCAGUGCCGAAGCUAACGCAUUAAGUGUCCCG